This 29-nucleotide non-coding RNA is filed under the name Rattus norvegicus (Norway rat). Lineage: Eukaryota; Metazoa; Chordata; Mammalia; Rodentia; Muridae. The record is from RNAcentral.
UGCCAGCAUGUGCCAGGCCAGUCCUCUGU